UGGAAAGAAAGGACGCAUGGGACCAUUAGAGUCAUGCUCAUAUGAAAACAAGGAGAAAAGAAAAUUUGAUGUUCUCCCUCCAAAUUUCAAACAUUUGAAAGAGUUCCUGCUCCGCCGCGCCGGAGCUCAUCAUCGGCGGCGGCGGAGCUCAAACCAUGAGACUAGGCACACCAAACCCUUCCUCUCAAGCUUACGAACAUGAAGAACAGCCUCACUAAACCUAAUUUCUAAGCAGUCAGACGAAUCGAAGAAGAUGACGCAAGAACCCUAGAAAUGAAAACAAAAAUUAAAUGCUGAAGAAAGUGAAUCAAAGCCUCAAAUUAUAGGGCUUUGAUUCCAUGCGAGCUACUUUACACGGUGGCACCUCACACACAAUAAACUGAAGAGUUUUAGCAACCGAAAAAGCGACAGGUAAGUGUUAGUUCUCUUCUUUCUCUCUCGUGUCUUGCUUAUGCUUCUACUCUGAGGGUGUGUGAGAAAGAUGCAGAGUUUUUUUUUAGUACGUUCAAACCCGAGAUUAUUCAACCCUCAUUUUUCCUUCUGAUUCCUUCCUUUUAUAAUGAAGCAAUUAGGGUUUAUGGAGCAAGAAAUCAAUGCAAAUGGAAUAGGUUUUGAUGCAUUGCAGGUUGCAUUGAUUUGGCAAGGCAUUGGCAAUGUGGUGAUGGUUGCAGCAUGUUUUUUCCCUGCAGGGAUAACUGUGUAUGCAAUAAUAUGUUUGGCUUGGCCUUGCUGGAUUGUUAUGAGGUUGUAGGAUUAUGCAUGGUUGAAGUGUUGCAGUUUGGAUUAGCAGGUUUUAUGGUCAUGUGGUGCAUUGCAGGCUAGGUCUGAAUUUGUUAGGUUUUGUCAUGGAAUUGCAGGACUGGUGCAUGGUUUGUUCAUGUGAUACCAUGGCCUGUUGUAGCUUGGAUUGAUGGAGGUUUGGACUGUGCAGGUGUGCAUUAUUGUCUUGAUUAUUUGAUGUGAUGGACUGGUGAAGGAAUGUUGCAGGGUGGUUUUAAAACAUUGUGUUGUAGGUUUUGCCUUGGUAUGGUUGGUAAUGUUGUUGACUGAUGUUGAUGUUCAUGGUAGUUUUUGCAGUAUGGCAUAACAAGGUUGUAUGUGUUUGUUGCAAUAAAAAUGGUUUCUCAUGAAUUGCUUGUAGCUUGCUGCAGGUUGGUGUUUUCAUUUCAGGAUCCUUGUUUUGCAGGUCUGCUAGAUGACUUUGCAAGGUUUGUUUGUUGUUGUUGUCUUGAUUUCUAGUUGACUUGAAUGGUAUGCAUGAUGAUUGUCAGUGGGUUAUGUUUAUAAUUCUUAUGGUUGCAGCUGACUUUGCAAGGUUUAUGUUGUGUUUGACAUGGCUGCAGCUGAGUUUUAGUGAGUUCCUCGAGUGCCAAGUAAUGGCCCUGCUGCAUUGUUGUCUUCAAUUUUGUUAUAUGUUAUUGUAGGAUGUUGCUGCAGAAUUAUUCAUGGCUUUGGUUCAGGUUAAUGGUAUGUUAUGGUAAGCCCUUGGUCAUAUGGUUGGUUGCUAGCAUUGUUUGACAUGAUGAACAUGGUUGAAAUCAAGGCAUGACUUGCAAAUGAAGAAAUUAUGUAAAGAUUACCAAAUUUAAGAACAUGGAAUCAACGGUGGAUCAUAGAUGAAUUAUGGAAGAAUGGAUUAGGGUUUAGGAUGCUCAAAGUUGGUUAGUUGACUUUGGUCAACUGGUUGACCAAAAAUUCAAUAGUUGACCAAAAGUCAACUUAGGUAGAAAAGUCAAUUUUUUUUGUGUAAUCUCUUUUGUAUGGACAUUUGUAAUGAAAUAAACAUUUGGUGAAUGAAAAUGAUAUUUGGUA
Molecule: long non-coding RNA, 1812 nt
Organism: Lathyrus oleraceus (garden pea)
Lineage: Eukaryota; Viridiplantae; Streptophyta; Magnoliopsida; Fabales; Fabaceae
Exons: 2
Source: RefSeq, a predicted model, not a curated record